Molecule: long non-coding RNA, 1154 nt
Organism: Esox lucius (northern pike)
Lineage: Eukaryota; Metazoa; Chordata; Actinopteri; Esociformes; Esocidae
Source: Ensembl
CAUUCACAUUGUAAUUGUUAAUGCUCCGAUUCUACACUGGUGAUAAUCCAUACAUCAUAUUUUGGAGUAGGACUAGGAGUGGCUUUGGUUUCACAUUAUACAUUUUAAGAUGUAUUCAAAUUAGGGAACUCAAAUGGUAAAAAAAGAAAGUCCAUAAAUCACAGUUUUAGUCAAAUUUGUCCCUACACAAAUUAUAUUCCUUUUAAAAAAACCUGGCCAUUUGUAAAACACAACAUUAUCUUGUUAAAUGUUUAACUGUAGACAACGCCAAAUUUUCUGUAACACUAACUAGGACCACACCGAUGUCAGGAGGAAAAAUAACACCACAUGAGAUUGUCAAACAUUGUUAUGAAAACACCAACCCUCUUUACUGUUCAGAUACCUUCUGUACACACAGACCUACAUGGGCCUGCACAGACACUUUCACACCCAUGUUGUUUUUCUCACAUACACGCAGAAUGAAAAUAAGCCUUGGUUUAUCCUUUUUUCUUUUUCCUGUGCCAUCCAAAUGUCUACAUAACCCUUUUUUACCCAGGUAUGUCUUAUGUUUACAUAAGCGUGGAACUUUGUUUUCGGUGUCUGUUGUCUUAAAGGGGAAAGACGUUCGGCACUCUCUUUAUCCGUCCUAGACAUGUCAAGCAAUGUGUUGUAGGCUUGGUCAUCAUGGGAUGUCAUUUUUGUGAUGGGUCAAAGGAUUUUUUUAUCACCUUCAACAUUGCCUGGGAGAGUAAACUGGGGGAGAAAGCAAUGCCAGCCUUUAAACAUUGUUGAGGGAUCUUUCUUCUUCAGUUAACUGGAACUUAUAUACCAAUGGUUCGAUUCCGACUUGACAAUUUUACUCAAAAUGUCGACAAGCUGGGGGUAAAAAAAAGUCACAGGAGCAUAAUCACAUGCAGUCGGUGUUCCUUGUAGCGGAGUCCUACAUUUUUCUAUGGGGGGGGGGUGGCCUAUUGGUGUCCGCUCUGUAAUACUAAUGUUUGAAUGGAUGGUGAUGAUGAUGAUGUCGGUGAUGGUUGCCCUCGUAAUGGAUUGGAUGGGCUGUGAUGUUUCUGGACAAGCACUCUGGAGGUCUGACAAGGACAAUGCAAUGUAUCUGCUACUUUCUGUUACUUCUCAUUAUAGUGUUUCAUCUAUUAGGCUGUAUUGACAAUAAA